CCUACGGGAGGCAGCAGUGGGGAAUAUUGCGCAAUGGGCGGAAGCCUGACGCAGCGACGCCGCGUGGGGGAUGACGGCCUUCGGGUUGUAAACCUCCUUCAGCAGGGACGAAGCCGCAAGGUGACGGUACCUGCAGAAGAAGCACCGGCCAACUACGUGCCAGCAGCCGCGGUAAUACGUAGGGUGCAAGCGUUGUCCGGAAUUAUUGGGCGUAAAGAGCUCGUAGGCGGUCUGUCACGUCGGCUGUGAAAUCCCGAGGCUCAACCUCGGGUCUGCAGUCGAUACGGGCAAACUAGAGUAUUGCAGGGGAGACUGGAAUUCCUGGUGUAGCGGUGAAAUGCGCAGAUAUCAGGAGGAACACCGGUGGCGAAGGCGGGUCUCUGGGCAAUAACUGACGCUGAGGAGCGAAAGCGUGGGGAGCGAACAGGAUUAGAUACCCUGGUAGUCCACGCCGUAAACGUUGGGCGCUAGGUGUGGGGCUCAUUCCACGAGUUCCGUGCCGCAGCUAACGCAUUAAGCGCCCCGCCUGGGGAGUACGGCCGCAAGGCUAAAACUCAAAGGAAUUGACGGGGGCCCGCACAAGCGGCGGAGCAUGUUGCUUAAUUCGAUGCAACGCGAAGAACCUUACCUAGGCUUGACAUGCACGGAAAUCCUCCAGAGAUGGGGGGUCCGUAAGGGUCGUGCACAGGUGGUGCAUGGUUGUCGUCAGCUCGUGUCGUGAGAUGUUGGGUUAAGUCCCGCAACGAGCGCAACCCUCGUCCUAUGUUGCCAGCACGUAAUGGUGGGGACUCAUAGGAGACUGCCGGGGUCAACUCGGAGGAGGGUGGGGGAUGACGUCAAAUCAUCAUGCCCCUUAUGUCUAGGGCUGCAAACAUGCUACAUGGCCGGUACAAAGGGCUGCGAUACCGCGAGGUGGAGCGAAUCCCAAAAGCCGGUCUUCAGUUCGGAUUGGGGUUCUGAACUCGACCCCAUGA
This 974-nucleotide ribosomal RNA is filed under the name uncultured bacterium. Its description in RNAcentral is "bacterial SSU rRNA". It matches the Rfam family "Bacterial small subunit ribosomal RNA", at positions 338 to 1323 of the family's 1533-position model. The record is from RNAcentral.